GACGAGCGCUGGCGGCGUGCUUAACACAUGCAAGUCGAACGAUGAACCCGGAGCUUGCUCUGGGGGAUUAGUGGCGAACGGGUGAGUAACACGUGAGUAACCUGCCCUGGACUCUGGGAUAAGCGUUGGAAACGACGUCUAAUACCGGAUAGGACCUUGGAUCGCAUGAUCUGGGGUGGAAAGUUUUUUCGGUCUGGGAUGGACUCGCGGCCUAUCAGCUUGUUGGUGAGGUAAUGGCUCACCAAGGCGUCGACGGGUAGCCGGCCUGAGAGGGUGACCGGCCACACUGGGACUGAGACACGGCCCAGACUCCUACGGGAGGCAGCAGUGGGGAAUAUGGCACAAUGGGCGAAAGCCUGAUGCAGCAACGCCGCGUGCGGGAUGACGGCCGUCGGGUUGUAAACCGCUUUUAGUAGGGAAGAAGGGCUUCGGCUUGACGGUACCUGCAGAAAAAGGACCGGCUAACUACGUG
Molecule: ribosomal RNA, 472 nt
Filed under: uncultured bacterium
Lineage: Bacteria
Description: partial 16S ribosomal RNA
Rfam family: Bacterial small subunit ribosomal RNA
Source: RNAcentral